This 619-nucleotide ribosomal RNA is filed under the name uncultured fungus. RNAcentral's name for it is "eukaryotic LSU rRNA". The stretch from base 177 to 330 matches the Rfam family "5.8S ribosomal RNA". The record is from RNAcentral. Lineage: Eukaryota; Fungi.
GGAUCAUUACAGAGUUUAUCAAACUCCCAAACCUAACGCUCGUAGGCCUUUUGUUGCCUCGGCGGAUAGAGCUACCCUGUCGUAGAUGAUGAGUUGUCCGGGUAGCCACUACCGCCGGCGGCCCCGAAACUCUUGUUAUACCUUGCAGCUCUGGAUCAAACAAACAAAUUGGACGAUGAGCCCAACAACGGGUCUCUUGGUUCUGGCAUCGAUGAAGAACGCAGCGAAAUGCGAUACGUAGUGUGAAUUGCAAGGCCUCGUGAUAGAUCGAAUCUUUGAACGCACAUCCGUAAUAGUUGUACUCUAGUGGGCAUGCCUGUCCGAGCGUCAUUUCGACCAUUAAGCCCUGUCGCUUAGCGUUGGGAGCCUACGGCGCGGCCCGUAGCUCCUCAAAGUUAGUGGCGGAGUCCGGCACGUCUCUAGGCGCAGUAAUUCUUCUCGCCUCUGCAGCGGUCCGGCUGCCAGAUAGAUAACCCCCAACUAAAUACUGGUUGACCUCGGAUCAGGUAGGAAUACCCGCUUGAGAGCAGUCGUCGCGCGCCUCGUGAGAUGAAAACCAACAGGGAUUGCCCUAGUAACGGCGAGUGAGGCGGCAAUAGGACCUCGCUGACAUAGAUGC